GCCGGGUAGCGACGUCGGGAAAGGAUAACCGCUGAAAGCAUCUAAGUGGGAAGCCCCCUCCGAGAUGAGCACUCCCAGAACGUAAGUUCUCAGAAGGGCCGUGCGAGACUAGCACGUUGAUAGGCGGCAGGUGGAAGCGUGGUAACACGUGUAGCCGAGCCGUACUAAUCGCCCGAGAGGCUUGACCA
RNAcentral lists this ribosomal RNA (188 nucleotides) under Gemmatimonadota bacterium. Its description in RNAcentral is "Gemmatimonadetes bacterium partial 23S ribosomal RNA". It matches the Rfam family "Bacterial large subunit ribosomal RNA", at positions 2740 to 2925 of the family's 2925-position model. The record is from RNAcentral. Lineage: Bacteria; Pseudomonadati; Gemmatimonadota.